GUAGGUGGCAAGCGUUGUCCGGAAUUAUUGGGCGUAAAGCGCGCGCAGGUGGUUCGUUUAAGUCUGAUGUGAAAGCCCCCGGGCUCAACCGGGGAGGGUCAUUGGAAACUGGGGAACUUGAGUGCAGGAGAGGAAAGUGGAAUUCCACGUGUAGCGGUGAAAUGCGUAGAUAUGUGGAGGAACACCAGUGGCGAAGGCGACUUUCUGGCCUGUAACUGACACUGAGGCGCGAAAGCGUGGGGAGCAAACAGGAUUAGAUACCCUGGUAGUCCACGCCGUAAACGAUGAGUGCUAAGUGUUGGGGGGGUUUCCGCCCCUCAGUGCUGCAGCUAACGCAUUAAGCACUCCGCCUGGGGAGUACGGUCGCAAAGACUG
Molecule: ribosomal RNA, 375 nt
Filed under: uncultured organism
Description: partial 16S ribosomal RNA
Rfam family: Bacterial small subunit ribosomal RNA
Source: RNAcentral